UUUCGGGGCGUCACCGACGUGCAACAACAAGGCGACUUCCGGUUGUUCGUUUUCACGAGAUGUACUCUGAGCAUCACGCAUAACAAGUUCGCGUACAUUAGAUUAGCGUUUGGUAAAGAUUCGUUUUAAAGAAUGGUGACGUUUUUUAAGUGGUUGAUCAAACUGUCAAAUCAGCAUAUUUGAAUUUACCGCCUCAAGAGAAGAGGUUGCACUGCGGGCUGUCUGUAAGGUUGUAGUCGAUUAUAGUCAGUUCCGAGAUGCAGCAAGCUAGCUAGCAACACUGUCUUCUGAAGCCUAACGUUACCGGUCAAUUUAUCCUAAUUUCCCAUACUUAUAAAAGUAGUACAAGUCAAAAACUAGCGAUAACGCCAAAACAACGUUUUUUUUUCUUGGAGAGUUCGCAGUGUAACACUAUUUGGCUGGAUUUGACAUCAAUUAUUUCAAAUGUGUAUGCUAGCGAGGUAGGUCACUCAAUUCAGUAGGGUAUCAAAUGCAGAUAUUUUUACAGAGUUCACGUGUAGACCGUCAUAAUUUAGAGAGAGUAUGAGCGAAGGAGAAGUUUUCCAUGAGAAGCAGAGACUGGAGUUGUGUGCCAUCCACGCUCUGAACAACGUGCUUCAAGAGAGAGUAUUCACCAAGGAGACGGCAGACGACAUCUGCAAGCGCCUAGCCCCCCAAUGCGUUGUAAAUCCGCACCGCUCCAUGCUGGGCACAGGGAACUAUGAUGUUAAUGUCAUCAUGGCAGCUCUGCAGAGUCGUGGCCUGGCAGCAGUAUGGUGGGACAAACGAAGGACUGUGCAGAGCCUGCGUUUGGACAAAGUUCAGGGCUUCAUUCUCAACGUUCCCUCACGAGUGUCACUGGGAAUUGUGUCCCUUCCUCUCAGGCGGAGACACUGGCUUGCUGUACGACAGGUUGGGGGGAACUACUACAACUUGGACUCCAAGUUAAAGGGUCCCACAUGUAUUGGAGGGGAAGCAGAACUUCGCACCACCACAUAAAGACAUGGGGGCAUCAAUAUGGCCCCUCUCCCUAUGUUACGUAUAAAGAACAACAGGCUCAGUACCCACCAAUCAUCAAAGCACGUUUCUCGGUGAGCAGCUCUCUCAGGACGUCACGGAGAUGCUUCUGGUGGUCCAGAGGGAGGUGGAGGACGAUGGGUCAUGGCUGAACGCAGAUGACUCGAGAAAGUGAUAUCUCCAGAUGGAAUGCUCUUGCACUAGACGACCAACCCAGAUUCGAAGAAAGCUGACUGUACGGGAUGCCCCCCUCCACAUAAGCACCGCAGGUGUUUGGAGAUUUGAUGGAUCACGGACACAUACUCAUAACAAUGUCCUCAAGGAGGACUGUUACCAUGAAGGACUGAUUUAUUUGAAUGAUUACAAGCUGAGUGAAUAUCACUUCAAGAGUAGCAUUACCUACUCUCUCUAACUCUCUCUCUCUCUCUCUCUCUCUCUCUCUCUUUCUCUCUUUCUCUUUCACUCUCUCUCACUACAGUCUCAAAUGUCUUUUUCUCAGGUUGAUAAGUACUUGAUUCGAAGGUGUGAGAAUCAAUAGUUCUCCAAUGUUCUUCUCUUUUAAUGCAUCUAUGCACUGCACUGCUUCAGUAGACACGAUGGAAUUGGCUUGUCUUUCUCCAUCUAUGCACAGAAGUGUUUCACAACAGCUGACUGGCCAGCUGUCUGUAUAUUGUUCUACGUCUGUCUUUUGUGGUGUCUGUCUGUUGAACUAUGCAUUCUAUAGUGACCCAAGACUUCUCGAGAGAUGUCUUUCAGGAUUUCACCUUUUGGUCUCUUGUCAGUGAAGCUCAGAGGAAAUGAAAACAACUAAUAAAGUGAACUGAUGUUAUUUAUAAGAACCUAA
RNA transcript from Alosa sapidissima (American shad), 1861 nucleotides. It is a transcript of the gene named Josephin domain containing 2, with no coding region annotated. Lineage: Eukaryota; Metazoa; Chordata; Actinopteri; Clupeiformes; Clupeidae. The transcript is spliced from 5 exons. The record is from RefSeq and is a predicted model, not a curated record.